Molecule: non-coding RNA, 82 nt
Organism: Chelonoidis abingdonii (Abingdon island giant tortoise)
Lineage: Eukaryota; Metazoa; Chordata; Testudines; Testudinidae
Source: the annotation of a RefSeq genome assembly
GCUGUGAUGGCCAAGUGGUUAAGGUGUUAGACUUAAAAUCCAAUAAGGUUCCUCUCCGCAGGUUCGAAUCCUGCUCACAGUG